GGAUUUUUAACUGUACAUAUAUGAAAAUUGGAAUGAUACAGAGAAGAUUAGCAUGGUCCCUGCACAAGGAUGACACACAAAUUCAUGAAAAGUUCCAUAUUUUU
Molecule: small nuclear RNA, 104 nt
Organism: Octopus sinensis (East Asian common octopus)
Lineage: Eukaryota; Metazoa; Mollusca; Cephalopoda; Octopoda; Octopodidae
Source: RefSeq, a predicted model, not a curated record